Molecule: ribosomal RNA, 544 nt
Filed under: uncultured bacterium
Lineage: Bacteria
Description: partial 16S ribosomal RNA
Rfam family: Bacterial small subunit ribosomal RNA
Source: RNAcentral
UAGGGAAUCUUCGGCAAUGGACGAAAGUCUGACCGAGCAACGCCGCGUGAGUGAAGAAGGUUUUCGGAUCGUAAAACUCUGUUGGUAGAGAAGAACGUUGGUGAGAGUGGAAAGCUCAUCAAGUGACGGUAACUACCCAGAAAGGGACGGCUAACUACGUGCCAGCAGCCGCGGUAAUACGUAGGUCCCGAGCGUUGUCCGGAUUUAUUGGGCGUAAAGCGAGCGCAGGUGGUUUAUUAAGUCUGGUGUAAAAGGCAGUGGCUCAACCAUUGUAUGCAUUGGAAACUGGUAGACUUGAGUGCAGGAGAGGAGAGUGGAAUUCCAUGUGUAGCGGUGAAAUGCGUAGAUAUAUGGAGGAACACCGGUGGCGAAAAGCGGCUCUCUGGCCUGUAACUGACACUGAGGCUCGAAAGCGUGGGGAGCAAACAGGAUUAGAUACCCUGGUAGUCCACGCCGUAAACGAUGAGUGCUAGAUGUAGGGAGCUAUAAGUUCUCUGUAUCGCAGCUAACGCAAUAAGCACUCCGCCUGGGGGCAGUACGACCG